AACGAACGCUGGCGGCAUGCCUAACACAUGCAAGUCGAACGAGACCUUCGGGUCUAGUGUCGCACGGGUGCGUAACGCGUGGGAACCUGCCCUUAGGUUCGGAAUAACUCCCCGAAAGGGGUGCUAAUACCGGAUAAUGUCUUCGGACCAAAGAUUUAUCGCCUUUGGAUGGGCCCGCGUUGGAUUAGCUAGUUGGUAGGGUAAAAGCCUACCAAGGCGACGAUCCAUAGCUGGUAUGAGAGGAUGAUCAGCCACACUGGGACUGAGACACGGCCCAGACUCCUACGGGAGGCAGCAGUGGGGAAUAUGGGACGAUGGGCGAAAGCCUGAGCCAGCAAGGCCGCGUGAGUGAUGAAGGCCUUAGGGUUGUAAAGCUCUUUUACCCGGGAUGAUAAUGACAGAACCGGGAGAAUAAGCUCCGGCUAACUCCGU
This 432-nucleotide ribosomal RNA is filed under the name uncultured bacterium. RNAcentral describes it as "partial 16S ribosomal RNA". It matches the Rfam family "Bacterial small subunit ribosomal RNA", at positions 29 to 506 of the family's 1533-position model. The record is from RNAcentral.